GAGGGAGGAGGCAAGCGUUAUCCGGAAUUAUUGGGCGUAAAGCGUCCGCAGGUGGCGAUUCAAGUCUGCUGUCAAAGGUCGGGGCUUAACCCCGGGAAGGCAGUGGAAACUGAAUAGCUAGAGUGCGGUAGGGGCAGAGGGAAUUCCCGGUGUAGCGGUGAAAUGCGUAGAGAUCGGAAAGAACACCAGUGGCGAAAGCGCGCUGCUGGCCUGCACUGACACUGAGGGACGAAAGCUAGGGGAGCGAAAGGG
This 252-nucleotide ribosomal RNA is filed under the name uncultured bacterium. RNAcentral's name for it is "partial 16S ribosomal RNA". It matches the Rfam family "Bacterial small subunit ribosomal RNA", at positions 524 to 776 of the family's 1533-position model. The record is from RNAcentral.